AUUGAACGCUGGCGGAAUGCUUUACACAUGCAAGUCGAACGGCAGCACGGGGCAACCUGGUGGCGAGUGGCGAACGGGUGAGUAAUACAUCGGAACGUGCCCAGUCGUGGGGGAUAACGUAGCGAAAGUUACGCUAAUACCGCAUACGAUCUAAGGAUGAAAGCGGGGGAUCGCAAGACCUCGCGCGAUUGGAGCGGCCGAUGUCAGAUUAGGUAGUUGGUGGGGUAAAGGCCCACCAAGCCGACGAUCUGUAGCUGGUCUGAGAGGACGACCAGCCACACUGGGGCUGAGACACGGCCCAGACUCCCACGGGAGGCAGCAGUGGGGAAUUUUGGACAAUGGGCGCAAGCCUGAUCCAGCCAUUCCGCGUGCAGGAUGAAGGCCUUCGGGUUGUAAACUGCUUUUGUACGGAGCGAAAAGGCUCUCUCUAAUACAGGGGGCUCAUGACGGUACCGUAAGAAUAAGCACCGGCUAACUACGUGCCAGCCGCCGCGGUAA
Molecule: ribosomal RNA, 498 nt
Filed under: uncultured bacterium
Lineage: Bacteria
Description: partial 16S ribosomal RNA
Rfam family: Bacterial small subunit ribosomal RNA
Source: RNAcentral